Molecule: ribosomal RNA, 253 nt
Filed under: uncultured bacterium
Lineage: Bacteria
Description: partial 16S ribosomal RNA
Rfam family: Bacterial small subunit ribosomal RNA
Source: RNAcentral
UACGUAGGGACCAAGCGUUGUUCGGAUUUACUGGGCGUAAAGGGCGCGUAGGCGGCAAUUCAAGUCAGCUGUGAAAUCUCCGGGCUUAACUCGGAACGGUCAGCUGAUACUGCUUUGCUAGAGUGCAGAAGGGGCAAUCGGAAUUCUUGGUGUAGCGGUGAAAUGCGUAGAUAUCAAGAGGAACACCUGAGGUGAAGACGGGUUGCUGGGCUGACAGUGACGCUGAGGCGCGAAAGCUAGGGUAGCAAGCGGG